This 644-nucleotide ribosomal RNA is filed under the name uncultured bacterium. Its description in RNAcentral is "bacterial SSU rRNA". It matches the Rfam family "Bacterial small subunit ribosomal RNA", at positions 232 to 885 of the family's 1533-position model. The record is from RNAcentral.
CGCGGCCUAUCAGCUUGUUGGUGGGGUAAUGGCCUACCAAGGCGACGACGGGUAGCCGGCCUGAGAGGGUGACCGGCCACACUGGGACUGAGACACGGCCCAGACUCCUACGGGAGGCAGCAGUGGGGAAUAUUGCACAAUGGGCGAAAGCCUGAUGCAGCGACGCCGCGUGAGGGAUGACGGCCUUCGGGUUGUAAACCUCUUUCAGCACGGAAGAAGCGAAAGUGACGGUACGUGCAGAAGAAGCGCUGGCUAACUACGUGCCAGCAGCCGCGGUAAUACGUAGGGCGCAAGCGUUGUCCGGAAUUAUUGGGCGUAAAGAGCUCGUAGGCGGUUUGUCGCGUCUGCUGUGAAAGCCCGGGGCUUAACCCCGUGGUGUGCAGUGGGUACGGGCAGACUAGAGUGCAGUAGGGGAGACUGGAAUUCCUGGUGUAGCGGUGAAAUGCGCAGAUAUCAGGAGGAACACCGAUGGCGAAGGCAGGUCUCUGGGCUGUUACUGACGCUGAGGAGCGAAAGCAUGGGGAGCGAACAGGAUUAGAUACCCUGGUAGUCCAUGCCGUAAACGUUGGGCACUAGGUGUGGGGGACAUUCCACGUUUUCCGCGCCGUAGCUAACGCAUUAAGUGCCCCGCCUGGGGAGUACGG